RNAcentral lists this ribosomal RNA (484 nucleotides) under uncultured bacterium. RNAcentral's name for it is "partial 16S ribosomal RNA". It matches the Rfam family "Bacterial small subunit ribosomal RNA", at positions 30 to 507 of the family's 1533-position model. The record is from RNAcentral.
AUUGAACGCUAGCGGGAUGCUUUACACAUGCAAGUCGAACGGCAGCGCGGACUUCGGUCUGGCGGCGAGUGGCGAACGGGUGAGUAAUGUAUCGGAACGUGCCCAGUAGCGGGGGAUAACUACGCGAAAGCGUAGCUAAUACCGCAUACGCCCUACGGGGGAAAGCAGGGGAUCGUAAGACCUUGCACUAUUGGAGCGGCCGAUAUCGGAUUAGCUAGUUGGUGAGGUAACGGCUCACCAAGGCGACGAUCCGUAGCUGGUUUGAGAGGACGACCAGCCACACUGGGACUGAGACACGGCCCAGACUCCUACGGGAGGCAGCAAUGGGGAAUUUUGGACAAUGGGGGCAACCCUGAUCCAGCCAUCCCGCGUGUGCGAUGAAGGCCUUCGGGUUGUAAAGCACUUUUGGCAGGAAAGAAACGGCGCGGGCUAAUACCCCGUGGAACUGACGGUACCUGCAGAAUAAGCACCGGCUAACUACGUG